GACUCGUGGGGAGGAAUUCGGUGCGAAUCCGGAGCGGUCCCGCCACUGUGAGCGUCCCAGCACAAGCCAGGUCUAUCCCGCAAGUC
Molecule: non-coding RNA, 86 nt
Filed under: Cutibacterium acnes
Lineage: Bacteria; Bacillati; Actinomycetota; Actinomycetes; Propionibacteriales; Propionibacteriaceae
Source: RNAcentral